UGAAACUGAAACAACACAACAUUCUUAUCAUCGAAACCCAAAUUCCCAGAUUCAUCGAAACUCUCUGAAACUCAUUUCACCGAAACCCUUCUCUCAUCGCACAACUCUGAAAUUCAUUCGCACAGCUUCGAAUUCUAUUUGCACAGCUCAUUCGCUCAUUUCACCGAAACUCUUCUCUCAUCGCAUUGUGAAUUCGAACUCCGAAGAGAAGAAAGAUAAGAAGCUUCUGGAAAAGAAAAACAGAUGAAAUGAUUUCGUAUGAGACGAUCUCUGUCGUCAAUGAGUUCCCUCAUGAUCCUCAUAAUGGAGGAAGUUGAACAAGCUAGUAGAACAACUGUUGUAAGCUGUCAUAGAGUUCUGAGUAUGUUAUCUCAACCAAGAGAUAAGUUCAUCAUAAGAAUUUAAUGGUGGAAACUGGUGAAGCUGUGAAUAGGUUCAAGAAAGUUGUGUCUUUGCUUCAAGAUGGUAUGGGUCAUGCAAGAUUUAGGAAGUUUAGGAAUCAGAAACAAGUUCCUUUUCCUCAAAAUGCCUUCUUGGACAAUCCGGUUUGCAAGAAAUUGAACAACCAUCACACCAAGAAGGUUCACUUUAGUCAAACUACUUAUCCUGAGAAUUCGGGUUAGGAACUUGCAUUGACCGUGCGAAACCUGAACACUUUGUUGGAAUUCAGCUCUAAUGGGAAAAUUCCUCUUCCCCUUGCUCAACAAGCUGCGUCGAGUUAGUCGACUCACUAUUAGUUCUUUCAGCAUCAGCAGCAACAAAGGUUAAUGAUUGAAGACAAACUUGUUUGGAUUGUUUACAUUGUUGUUGCAAUUCUUAAGAUAGAACAAAGCACAGUUUGAGGUGGGUUUGGAAUGGUGUAAUGUGAUGAAAAGAGACGAGAUUGAAAAAGUGGUUAGAAGACUUAUGGUGAAUCAAGAAGGGGAAGAAUUGUGAAUGAUUCUUCCAGUGAUGCAUUAAAUGGCUUGCUACUAAUACUUUGGAACGUGUUGCGCCACUGACACAUGCAGUUGGAAAUAUGUUAAAGAGAGUUUUCGUCAUUGGAUUUUCAAUAGUGGUGUUUGGCAACAAGAUAUCUACACAAACUGGCAUUGGAAAAUAAACAUAUUUUAUAUAUAGUCUUCAAACUCCAACCUACUGUUAUUGUGAAGUAAACAAAGAACUGCAAUUUGAAAAACGUAUCUCCAGUCUGUUUCCAUGGGUGGUCGCGGCGGCUGAACACCCUUCCUCUCUUUAACACAUUUUACAAUGUUUUCGUCAUGAAAAGUUGCAGGUUAUGUGCGCGUGAUAAUUUUGGAGAAAAGUUGUUUAUUAUAUCUUUAUCCAAUAUAUCUCAGCUUGUUUGAUUUGUGUUAUAGAAAGUGCUGCAGAGUAUCCGAAUGUAGUCCAACCUACCUCACUGUUUCUUAAUCCUAGUAAGUUCUGUUAAAAUUAUCUGACUCUACGUCUUGUGGUCACUUUACUUGAGCCACAGUUUAUGAUAUGCCUUUUUAAGAAGUUUGGUAGAUACUAUCUAAAAAAAAGGAUUUAAAAUCAUAUAUUUAGAAUUAGCUUCCAAAAAAGGCUUUUCACUAAUGCUGUAAUAUGUGGUAAUAAUUACUCUCCUCUGUUAACUAAUGAUCAUACCCUGCUAUUGAAUUGAGAUUGGAAUAUGUUUCCAUUAUGAAAAGGAAUCUAGUACUUGUGUAUUUAGUCUUUUCGAGAAUAAUAAACAUGACUUAUUCUUCUACUGUUUAUGUGCACUCACUCUUGGUGAGAUAGCUUAGAAUGCUAUGGUUUAUUUAAAAGGGAAUGUUUUCAAUAGUGCACUCACUUUUUUUUGGACGGUAGCUUUGAAAAUAAACCUCUACAUCCACAAGCAGCCCAGCUAUGGAGCAAUCAAGAAGAUUACAGAAAGAUGGUUCUCAAGUUAUACAAUUCUCCAAGUGCCACUGGUGGAAAAGGAACUUCAUAUUUUUUUGGGGUUUGGUACACAUAGACUAUUAUUUCAAACACAUCAGAACUCCUUGUAGAAAGUUCGUUGAUACAUGAACUGUUCUAUCUUAUUUACAGUUUUUUAUUAGAUAUCUGAUGUCAUGACAUUUUUUCAAGAGUUAAAAUCUGCUGUUUUUUCUUUUUAGUUUUAACAUCAUCUAACAAUUAGUUUCACACGUGCAGUUUUUUUCUCUGUGAGGUUGUUCAGUCAGUGCAGCACAAACUACAAAGUGAAGAAAGAAAAUAGAUUCACUAAUCUCUCUUUAAAAGCUUCGAGUUCUACUUUUAAUGAAUCACUAAUUGAACAGUAUCUUUCUACCUCUUCAUUCAUUUCAUUCACCUAGAAGAUGGACAGUUCACUAAUAGCAGAAGAAGCAACAAGCAAUGGGGAUAGUUCGGGGAAGAGAUCAAGCAAAACCUUGGGGGACAGCCUACUUACAAAUACCUGCCAAUCAAUUCGGAGAUGGGGGUUCUCCAGAUAUUUACCCUGCAUUUAAGCACACCCUCAAAACAAUUUCUAGUGAUUCAGGGAGAUAUGGCAUUAUUGAAUGCGACACUAUGAUACAGGAGGGCAUUGAAAAGACUGUAUGACAAAGGAGCAUACUUGUUUUUGCCAUCAUACGUAAUGAGAAUACAUGGAGCAAAACAGCAACGUGAAGCUGUAAAGAGGGAUCCCAAGAAUCAACUUGACCCUAUUUUUGAGGCACUUAACACUCUUGAUGAUACCAAAUGGAGGGUAAACAAAAGCCUAAUUGGAAGAUUAUCAAGAAACAUGAGCAAAACAAUGGAUGGGCGUGUGGAUAUUAUGUAAUGAAGAACAUGUUUGAUAUUGUUGAUACUUCCAUUGUUGAAAGAUUCGAUGAGGUAGUAUAAUUUGCAGACACGUCACCCUAUGAAAAAGAGACAAUCGACCAUAUUCGGCAACUUUGGUCUCAAGUAUUUUUGCAAAUGGUUGAAAAUCAAAAGGUUGAGGAGCAAAAUCUAUCAGAUCAAAUGCAAAUGGUUGAAGAGGAUAAAGAGAUAGAAAUGUUGCCAAAACAAAAGCCAAAGAAGAAGAAGAAAACUUAUAUAUGAAGAAAGUGUUAUGACUUAGUUAAAAUAUAAUUUUUAUGUGUAUGAUUUUAUAGUACUUGAAAUAUUAUG
This is an RNA transcript of Vicia villosa (hairy vetch), 3117 nucleotides long. It is a transcript of the gene named DNA-directed RNA polymerase 1, mitochondrial-like, with no coding region annotated. NCBI's taxonomy places the organism in Eukaryota, Viridiplantae, Streptophyta, Magnoliopsida, Fabales, Fabaceae. The record is from RefSeq and is a predicted model, not a curated record. The transcript has 11 exons.